GGGACACGUGGUAUCCUGUCUGAAUAUGGGGGGACCAUCCUCCAAGGCUAAAUACUCCUGACUGACCGAUAGUGAACCAGUACCGUGAGGGAAAGGCGAAAAGAACCCCGGCGAGGGGAGUGAAAAAGAACCUGAAACCGUGUACGUACAAGCAGUGGGAGCACCUUCGGGUGUGACUGCGUACCUUUUGUAUAAUGGGUCAGCGACUUAUAUUCUGUAGCAAGGUUAACCGUAUAGGGGAGCCGCAGGGAAACCGAGUCUUAACUGGGCGUUAAGUUGCAGGGUAUAGACCCGAAACCCGGUGAUCUAGCCAUGGGCAGGUUGAAGGUUGGGUAACACUAACUGGAGGACCGAACCGACUAAUGUUGAAAAAUUAGCGGAUGACUUGUGGCUGGGGGUGAAAGGCCAAUCAAACCGGGAGAUAGCUGGUUCUCCCCGAAAGCUAUUUAGGUAGCGCCUCGUGAACUCAUCUUCGGGGGUAGAGCACUGUUUCGGCUAGGGGGUCAUCCCGACUUACCAACCCGAUGCAAACUACGAAUACCGAAGAAUGUUAUCACGGGAGACACACGGCGGGUGCUAACGUCCGUCGUGAAGAGGGAAACAACCCAGACCGCCAGCUAAGGUCCCAAAGUCAUGGUUAAGUGGGAAACGAUGUGGGAAGGCACAGACAGCCAGGAUGUUGGCUUAGAAGCAGCCAUCAUUUAAAGAAAGCGUAAUAGCUCACUGGUCGAGUCGGCCUGCGCGGAAGAUGUAACGGGGCUAAACCAUGCACCGAAGCUGCGGCAGCGACACUAUGUGUUGUUGGGUAGGGGAGCGUUCUGUAAGCCUGCGAAGGUGUGCUGUGAGGCAUGCUGGAGGUAUCAGAAGUGCGAAUGCUGACAUAAGUAACGAUAAAGCGGGUGAAAAGCCCGCUCGCCGGAAGACCAAGGGUUCCUGUCCAACGUUAAUCGGGGCAGGGUGAGUCGACCCCUAAGGCGAGGCCGAAAGGCGUAGUCGAUGGGAAACAGGUUAAUAUUCCUGUACUUGGUGUUACUGCGAAGGGGGGACGGAGAAGGCUAUGUUAGCCGGGCGACGGUUGUCCCGGUUUAAGCAUGUAGGCUGGUUGUCCAGGCAAAUCCGGAUAAUCAAGGCUGAGGUGUGAUGACGAGGCACUACGGUGCUGAAGUAACAAAUGCCCUGCUUCCAGGAAAAGCCUCUAAGCAUCAGGUAACAUCAAAUCGUACCCCAAACCGACACAGGUGGUCAGGUAGAGAAUACCAAGGCGCUUGAGAGAACUCGGGUGAAGGAACUAGGCAAAAUGGUGCCGUAACUUCGGGAGAAGG
This 1322-nucleotide ribosomal RNA is filed under the name Klebsiella pneumoniae. RNAcentral's name for it is "partial 23S ribosomal RNA". It matches the Rfam family "Bacterial large subunit ribosomal RNA", at positions 419 to 1746 of the family's 2925-position model. RNAcentral also lists the same sequence under 1 other name. The record is from RNAcentral. Lineage: Bacteria; Pseudomonadati; Pseudomonadota; Gammaproteobacteria; Enterobacterales; Enterobacteriaceae.